UAAAUUCAAAGAGAGAAGCCGUUUCUCGGCAUUUACAGUGCAUAAACCGUAGACUAUGAACGGGCAAGGCAACAUUGUCUUCCUUGUACACCACAUUCUUUUCUGUAAAAUUCAAACCCUGAAGCCCUCUUAACCAAAUUACGCGAGGGGUAUUUUCGUUAUCAUGGUACAAAAUCCACCCAAAGUCAAGUCUACCCAGCAAUUUAUAUUUUUGUAAACAAGGAAAGCUUUACAAAAAGAUCGAGCCUUGUCUCAAACAAGAUUGAUUGAGGAAAGAAAAUUUACUUUCUGUUUCCAGCAACUGCUACAUGGAGAUGGCGAUUUGUGUGCCAUAAAUGGAAGAAGUUCAUGAACAAACUUUCCAAAUUUACCAUAUCUUUGCCGGGGAUUAACAGCAAAACCAUAAAUGGUAAACCCUAAGAGCUCCCACCGCCCAACUAUAUGCUACAGGCCUAUACGGCCAUCUGACUUGGAGAUUUUAGAGCGACUCCAUGCAGAUGUAUUUCCUAUCAGGUAUGAGUCAGAGUUUUUCCAAAAUGUCGUCAAUGCACGUGACAUUGUGUCUUGGGCAGCUGUUGAUCGUAGUCGACCUAAUGGUCAGAGUGAUGAGCUUAUUGGAUUUGUUACUGCAAGAAUUGUGCUGGCAAAAGAAAGUGAGAUAGGGGAUUUACUCAGAUAUGACCCCUCAAAACCAGAUCAAACACUAGUCUACAUUCUGACUCUUGGAGUGGUAGAAGCUUACAGAAAUCUUGGGAUAGCAACUGCUCUUAUUCGUGAGGUUAUCAAAUAUUCUUUAAGUAUUCCAACAUGCCGUGCUGUUUACUUGCAUGUGAUUUCUUACAACAAUCCUGCCAUUCAUUUAUACAAAAAAAUGGCAUUCAAGUGUAUACGAAGGUUGCAAGGUUUUUACCUAAUCAAUGGCCAACAUUAUGACUCGUACUUGUUUGUUUACUACGUAAAUGGCGGUUGUUCUCCGUGCUCUCCAUUGGAGUUUGUCACAGCUGUGGUGAGCUACGUGAGGAGUGGUCUUAAGAUGGUAGCUGCGAGGCUACGUAAGAAUGAAGAGAAGCAGAAGUGGCCCAAAUGAUCCUCUUCCCAAGGAAGAGUGAUAUUAUAUAGAUUCUUUCAAGGUUUGUGAUCUUAUCUUGAUAUGAUACUGUUUGGCUACAAAUUUCAAUUCUUGAGAAGACCAUCGUUAUGCUGUUGCAAUCUGCUACAAGGGCAGGAAUUGAGAGAGAGAGAGCGAGUUGGGUCAUUGUACGUGUAAGGCCAUGACAGGGGAAAUUUGUUUUCAAGAAUGGAGGAAAGAAGUUGCAGCAAUGAUAUUGGAAUGGGAGCAUCAUCGAGAAGCCCAACCAUAAUAUGAGGGAAUGAAUCGACAAAAUCACUGGAGAGCGAACCAACCUCACCUAUAUCAGCGGAAACUGCCCUAGAGAUUAAAGUUCAGGCAGCUUGAUUCAUUUUCAUUUUUACAGAGGACCAGUAACCUGACCAUAUGAACCUGGUGUUUUUUUCAG
Hevea brasiliensis (rubber tree) is the source of this 1517-nucleotide RNA transcript. It is a transcript of the gene named histone acetyltransferase MCC1, with no coding region annotated. NCBI's taxonomy places the organism in Eukaryota, Viridiplantae, Streptophyta, Magnoliopsida, Malpighiales, Euphorbiaceae. The record is from RefSeq and is a predicted model, not a curated record. The transcript is spliced from 9 exons.